UCAACCGAGAUUCCCCCAGUAGCGGCGAGCGAACGGGGAGAGCCCAGAGCCUGAAUCAGUGUGUGUGUUAGUGGAAGCGUCUGGAAAGGCGCGCGAUACGGGUGACAGCCCCGUACACAAAAAUGCACAUACUGUGAGCUCGAUGAGUAGGGCGGGACCGUGGUAUCCUGUCUGAAUAUGGGGGGACCAUCCUCCAAGGCUAAAUACUCCUGACUGACGAUAGUGAACCAGUACCGUGAGGGAAAGGCGAAAAGAACCCCGGCGAGGGGAGUGAAAAGAACCUGAAACCGUGUACGUACAAGCAGUGGGAGCCUCUUUAUGGGGUGACUGCGUACUUUUGUAUAAUGGGUCAGCGACUUAUAUUCUGUAGCAAGGUUAACCGAAUAGGGGAGCCAAGGGAAACCGAGUCUUAACUGGGCGUUAAGUUGCAGGGUAUAGACCCGAAACCCGGUGUCUAGCCAUGGGCAGGUUGAAGGUUGGGUAACACUAACUGGAGGACCGAACCGACUAAUUUGAAAAAUUAGCGGAUGACUUGUGGCUGGGGGUGAAAGGCCAAUCAAACCGGGAGAUACUGGUUCUCCCCGAAAGCUAUUUAGGUAGCGCCUCGUGAAUUCAUCUCCGGGGGUAGAGACUGUUUCGGCAAGGGGGUCAUCCCGACUUACCAACCCGAUGCAAACUGCGAAUACCGGGAAUGUUAUCACGGGAGACACACGGCGGGUGCUAACGUCCGUCGUGAAGAGGGAAACAACCAGACCGCCAGCUAAGGUCCCAAAGUCAUGGUUAAGUGGGAAACGAUGUGGGAAGGCCAGACAGCCAGGAUGUUGGCUUAGAAGCAGCCAUCAUUUAAAGAAAGCGUAAUAGCUCACGGUCGAGUCGGCCUGCGCGGAAGAUGUAACGGGGCUAAACCAUGCACCGAAGCUGCGGCGCGACACUAUGUGUUGUUGGGUAGGGGAGCGUUCUGUAAGCCUGUGAAGGUGUGCUGUGGGCAUGCUGGAGGUAUCAGAAGUGCGAAUGCUGACAUAAGUAACGAUAAAGCGGGUGAAAGCCCGCUCGCCGGAAGACCAAGGGUUCCUGUCCAACGUUAAUCGGGGCAGGGUGAGUCACCCCUAAGGCGAGGCCGAAAGGCGUAGUCGAUGGGAAACAGGUUAAUAUUCCUGUACUGGUGUUACUGCGAAGGGGGGACGGAGAAGGCUAUGUUGGCCGGGCGACGGUUGUCCCGGUUAAGCGUGUAGGCUGGUUUUCCAGGCAAAUCCGGAAAAUCAAGGCUGAGGCGUGAUGAGAGGCACUACGGUGCUGAAGCAACAAAUGCCCUGCUUCCAGGAAAAGCCUCUAAGCAUCGGUAACAUCAAAUCGUACCCCAAACCGACACAGGUGGUCAGGUAGAGAAUACCAAGGCGUUGAGAGAACUCGGGUGAAGGAACUAGGCAAAAUGGUGCCGUAACUUCGGGAGAAGGCAGCUGAUAUGUAGGUGAAGUCCCUUGCGGAUGGAGCUGAAAUCAGUCGAAGAUACCAGCUGCUGCAACUGUUUAUUAAAAACACAGCACUGUGCAAACACGAAAGUGGACGUAUACGGUUGACGCCUGCCCGGUGCCGGAAGGUUAAUUGAUGGGGUUAGCGGUAACGCGAAGCUCUUAUCGAAGCCCCGGUAAACGGCGGCCGUAACUAUAACGGUCCUAAGGUAGCGAAAUUCCUGUCGGGUAAGUUCCGACCUGCACGAAUGGCGUAAUGAUGGCCAGGCUGUCUCCACCCGAACUCAGUGAAAUUGAACUCGCUGUGAAGAUGCAGUGUACCCGCGGCAAGACGGAAAGACCCGUGAACCUUUACUAUAGCUUGACACUGAACAUUGAGCCUUGAUGUGUAGGAUAGGUGGAGGCUUUGAAGUGUGGACGCCAGUCUGCAUGGAGCCGACCUUGAAAUACCACCCUUUAUGUUUGAUGUUCUAACGUUGGCCCCUAAUCGGGGUUGCGGACAGUGUCUGGUGGGUAGUUGACUGGGGCGGUCUCCUCCUAAAGAGUAACGGAGGAGCACGAAGGUUGGCUAAUCCUGUCGGACAUCAGGAGGUUAGUGCAAUGGCAUAAGCCAGCUUGACUGCGAGCGUGACGGCGGAGCAGGUGCGAAAGCAGGUCAUAGUGAUCCGGUGGUUCUGAAUGGAAGGGCCAUCGCUAACGGAUAAAAGGUACUCCGGGGAUAACAGGCUGAUACCGCCCAAGAGUUCAUAUCGACGCGGUGUUUGGCACCUCGAUGUCGGCUCAUCACAUCCUGGGGCUGAAGUAGGUCCCAAGGUAUGGCUGUUCGCCAUUUAAAGUGGUACGCGAGCUGGGUUUAGAACGUCGUGAGACAGUCGGUCCCUAUCUGCCGUGGGCGCUGGAGAACUGAGGGGGGCUGCUCCUAGUACGAGAGACCGGAGUGGACGCAUCACUGGUGUUCGGGUUGUCAUGCCAAUGGCACUGCCCGGUAGCAAAUGCGGAAGAGAUAAGUGCUGAAAGCAUCUAAGCACGAAACUUGCCCCGAGAUGAGUCUCCCUGACUCCUUGA
RNAcentral lists this ribosomal RNA (2534 nucleotides) under Escherichia coli. RNAcentral's name for it is "bacterial LSU rRNA". It matches the Rfam family "Bacterial large subunit ribosomal RNA", at positions 225 to 2826 of the family's 2925-position model. Lineage: Bacteria; Pseudomonadati; Pseudomonadota; Gammaproteobacteria; Enterobacterales; Enterobacteriaceae. The record is from RNAcentral.